CGGCCAUCUUGGCUCCUCCCCCCGAGAUUGAUAAAUCCAAGAAAAUAGAGAAGAUCAAAAGAAGAUACAUAGCUGAAAACACUUGAAGGUAUAGACUACCUUGAAAGUCACGCAAGAACUGUUCUUCCUGCUUUCCAUAUCCAAGAUGCAGAAGUCAAGGCACAGGGAUGUGAACAUACGUGGGUCAUGUUUCAUAGUACCUGGACCAAGAGAAGAGGUCUCUCUAUGUUGAGAAAAUGGCAAUGCCUUCCCACAGCAUGGUACUUCUUCUCCUUCUGAGAAUGAUACUGUUACAUAAAGGUUUUCGGCGGUGCCCCAGAACACGGAGAUUUCCUUCUGCCCAGCUGCAUGAGGCACACAUAUCCUGGGAUGGCAUUAGGAAGAUGGCCACUUUCACAUCAACUUAUGUACUCUGGCACCAACCUCUCUUCUCCCUACCCAGCCCAACUUCCCACCCACUGCUAUUGGGAUGAUAUGUGCUCUUGGGUAAGGAAUGCAUAUCCAAAUGCUACCUCAGAUCAGGGAGGUAAUACCUGGCCUCAAUUCUCUGCCCUUAAAGAAUCUUGCAGCCAAAUUGGGUAAAGAGUCAAGACCCAUCGGUGUGCUUUAUUCAGGAGACCCAUCUCACGUGCAAAGACACACAUGGGCCCAAAAUAAAGGGAUGGAGUAAUAUUUACCAAGGAAAUGGAAAGCACACACACACAAAAAAAAGCAGAGGUUGCAAUCCUAGCCUCUGAUAAAACAGACUUUAAACCAACAAAGAUCAAAAAAGACAAAGAAGGGCAUUACAUACUGGUAAAGGGAUCAAUGCAACAAGAAGAGCUAACUCUCCUAAAUAUAUAUGCACCCAAUACAGGAGCACCCACAUUCAUAAAGCAAGUUCUUAGAGACCUACAAAGAGACUUAGACUCCCACACAAUAAUAGUGGGAGACUUUUAACACCUCACUGUCAAUAUUAGGCAGAUCAACAAGACAGAAAAUUAACCAGGAUAUUCAGGAUGUGAACUAAGCUCUGGACCAAGAGGACCUAAUAGACAUCUGUGGAACUCUCCACCCCAAAUCAAUAGAAUGUACAUUCUUCUCAGCACCACAUCGCACUUAUUCUAAAAUUGACCACAUAAUUGGAAAUAAAACACUCCUCAGCAAAUGCAAAAGAAUGGAAAUCAUUACAGUCUCUCAGAUCACAGUGCAAUCAAGUUAGAACUCAGGAUUAAGAAACUCAGUCAGAACCGGACAACGACAUGGAAACUGACAACCUGCUCCUGAAUGACUACUGGGUAAAUAACAAAAUUAAGGAAGAAAUAAAUAAGUUCUUUGAAACCAAUGAGAACAAAGACACAAUGUACUAGAGUCUCUGGGACACAGCUAAAGCAGUGUUUAGAGGGAAAUUUAUAGCACCAAAUGCCCACAGGAGAAAGCAGGAAAGAUCUAAAAUCGACACCGUAAUAUCACAAUUAAAAGAACUAGAGAAGCAAGAGCAAACAAAUUCAAAAGCUAGCAGAAGGCAAGAAAUGACUAAGAUCAGAGCAGAACUGAAGGAGACAGAGACACAUGGACACAGGAGAAUGAGAACACAUGGACACAGGGAGGGUAACAUCACAAACUGGGGCCUGUCAGGGGUGGGGAGUGGUGGGGAGGGAUAGCAUUAGGAGAAAGAUCUAAUGUAGAUGAAAGUUUGAUGGGUGCAGCAAACCACCAUGGCAUGUGCAUACCUAUGUAACAAACCUGCACAUUCUGCACGUGUAUCCCAGAACUUAAAGUAUAAUAUAAUAAAAGAAUCUCAUAGCCAUCAUCUGUUGUAUACAACAGACCUCAAAUUAGUCUCCCUCUGCUUCUCCAACAGUGUGGCCUCUUCUAUGAAGCUGUCUACCCAUGGGUUUCCCCAACAUCCCAUCCCCCAGCCCUCAGGUUUCUCCUCCCCAUCAUCUUCACUUCAGAAAGAGAAAUGAAAAAGAAAUUCAAGUGACUCAUCGGUCCACAUAGGCAGGAGUGGGAGAGGCUGAGAGAGUGAAUUUGUGGGUCCAGAUGAAUAUUUCCGCAGGCCUCUUGACUGCUUCACACGAUCUGCUGUGCUUCAUGAAAAAGAGGAUAUAAAAAUCUGAGUGGUGCCAUAUUGUCUCCAAAAGCAGCCAGAGUGAAAAUGAAGUGUGACUGCUGCCUCCCAAAACGCAGGGCAGCUCCUCCCUCACAUCCACAAAUGUGGUUCAGCGGGCUGCCUUGCCCUGUUUCAGGAAGCCUACGUGGAGGGCACUGUGGAGCCCCAGCCACCUUCUUCACACAGGGCUAUCUGGGGCUUCAGUGCCAGGUCCCCUGGAUACACAGCAGAGUCUGCUGGGGGCACUGACCAGGAUGCCAAUGCAGGGGUGCUUUCUCGGAGGCUCAUCCCACCAGCAGUGCCAGGUUUGACAAGCCCCACAAAUCUAUGCUCUUUGGCCGCCUUGAGAACUUUCCAACCAGGGAUUCUUACUGAGCAGAGUGUGCAUGGCGAGGAAGAGUCAGAGUGGGGGGGGCCUUGCCCCUCCCUCAACCAGAGGGACUCUACUUUAAUGUACCUUACAUACUGGGCACUUUCCUAAGAUUUCACUGGAAAAAAUCGGAGCAAACAAAAAUGGAAACAACCUGGAAAGCCCCCAUGGGUCUAGCCCAGUGGUUCUCGAACUUGAGUGUGCCUCAGAAUCUUCUGGAGGGCUAGAUAUAAAACACAGAUGGCUGCGCCUCUCCCCAGACUUGCUGAUUCAUUAUUGCUGAUAUUUCAUUUUUAUGUUUUUGUUUUUUUGAGAUAGGUUCUCACUCUGUUGCCUAGGCUGGAGUAUAGUGACCCAAUCACUGCUCACUGCAGCAUUGACCUCCUGGGCUCAAGCAAUCCUCACACCUGAGCCUCCCAAGAGGCUGGGACUACAGAUUCUUGCCCGAUCGCCCAGGCUGGAAUGCAGUGGUGUGAUCUCAGCUCACUGUAACCUCCACCUCUCCCAGGUUCAAGCAAUUCUCCUGCCCCAGCCUCCUGAGUAGCGGGGAUUACAGGUGCAUGCCACCACACCCAGGCCCUGGGCAGGAGUUGGCACAUUUUCCUCUGUGCACAGAUCUUCCCCGUGCCAGGCUUACAAAAGGAAGUUUCCGGAGCUGAGCAGCUUUUCAGGAGCUCCAUGGCCAGUUCACCUCCCCAUUCUGACACCUAACGCCGUGAGGCUCCGUCCUUGAAGAGAUGUAACAUGUUCUGGAGAAGAUGUCAAGGGUCACUUCGAAGUGUGCACAGGUGAGUUAAUGAGAGCUGCUGCCUUUCAAUGUGGGCUACUGACGCUUUCUCCAACAGGUAGGUGUCUUGUGUGCAAAGGCCAAUAGUAUUUCCUGCAAUCUGGAGGCAGAUUCUGCUCACAAUCUCGAGACACAGCAAACUCUCCCCACCCGAGAAGAGGAUGGGAUGAGGCACACUGAAGAGGUAGGGAGGAGGAGAUGGAGAAAAGAUAUAUUUUUGUUUGGUGGAGAACACACACUUUUCAAUUUCAACCAAGACGUUUGAAAUGCACACAAUCACAGUUUCUUCUCCUUUCCCUCAGGAAAGAAAACUGAUCCUGUAGCCACAGAAAAACAGGACUGAGACCAGGAAGGGCAAGUCGUGUGUGUCAGCAUUGUGGACCUUUAUAUAAAUAAUAAUUUUCCAGUGGGAACUGUGAUCUCUUCUUGUCUCUUCUAUUUUUAAAUGCUAAUUACUUCUGAUUUUGUUUACGUAGGCGGAGCUAAUAAGAACAUUUGCUUCAUAACCAUUGAACCUAAUGUAUCUGUUUUUGGACACUGGUGAUUUAUUUUUGCACACAUGCUCCAAAUUGGUGCUAAUUACUUUAAAGGAUCAGAGUUUCUAUUCCAAGAGGGAUGACGACAGAAUGUCAAUUUGGAGUCUCUGAGCAUAAUGUCCCAAUUAUCAAUGCAUUCCAGACCAGAAUGGACUUGGCACCUUCUUGAAGGGAUUUGGCUUCACUUUUAUCAGCCAGUCCCUGGUUGUAGCUUCAUUAAAACUUGCUUUCUAGUAACUUGUGGAUGUGCCUAUACUUUUCUCUGUCUCAAAGACCCUUCAGUGUCAUAUCAGUAUCCUGAAUACCUACCUUUUCAUUUCCAGAUCAAAUACUUCUCCCUCUGAGCCUUUUUUGAUCUCUUUGGCCCAAGAUAAUUUUAAUUCCU
Molecule: long non-coding RNA, 4173 nt
Filed under: Homo sapiens (human)
Lineage: Eukaryota; Metazoa; Chordata; Mammalia; Primates; Hominidae
Description: HSALNT0316981
Source: RNAcentral